AUGCAUAUUUUCCUAGGUGCUUCACAAGGAUCUGUGCUGUUCUCAUUCCCAGUGGGCGUCUGCAAGCAGUUUUUAUCAUCUUUGAUCGCCUUGCUGACGCCACAUUGUGCCAACUUCGCCUUAUGUUUGCUUCCUCCAAGAUGCUCAUUUAGACCAGCUUCACAUGUUGCACCGUCUACUAGCAUGCAUAUUUUCCUAGGUGCAUCACAAGGAUCUGUGCUGUUCUCAUUCCCAGUGGGCGUCUGCAAGCAGUUUUUGUCAUCUUUGAUCGCCUUGCUGACGCCACACUGUGCCAACUUUGCCUUGUGCUUUCUUCCUCCAAGAUGCUCAUUUAGACCAGCUUCACAUGUUGCACCGUCUACUAGCAUGCAUAUUUUCUUAGGUGCAUCAGAAGGAUCUGUGUUGUUCACAUUCCCAGUGGUCGUCUGCAAGCAGCUUUUGUUACCUUUGGUCGCCUUGCUGACGCCACAUUGUGCCAACUUUGCCUUAUGUUCUCUUCCUCCAAGAUGCUCAUUUAGACCAGAUUCAGAUGGUGCACUAACCUGGUAUGGUGGUGCACAACUCCAGUCCUCGGCUAGUUUCUGUACUUUCUUUGGUACAAUAGUUGCAGCAUUUGCAUCUGCUUUACUCUUCAUCAUUGGAACCUUCGGUGAAAGAGCCUGA
Molecule: ribosomal RNA, 663 nt
Filed under: Triticum aestivum (bread wheat)
Lineage: Eukaryota; Viridiplantae; Streptophyta; Magnoliopsida; Poales; Poaceae
Description: partial small subunit ribosomal RNA
Source: RNAcentral